CAUCCUUUUCUUGGCAGGUAUGAGUUGGGCUGUACUCUCGCAUGUUAUGUUCAGAGGAAGAGCAUUUUCAAUGCUAUGUCUUAAGUCAAUCACCGAGACAACA
This is a small nucleolar RNA of Protopterus annectens (West African lungfish), 103 nucleotides long. RefSeq annotates it as small nucleolar RNA SNORA57. The record is from RefSeq and is a predicted model, not a curated record. NCBI's taxonomy places the organism in Eukaryota, Metazoa, Chordata, Ceratodontiformes, Protopteridae. The transcript has a single exon.